AAUUCAACAAUUGAAUCAAGAAGAUCUUCAACAGCAGCAGAAAUGAAAUCGCCGUAUGGGAAAAGAUCUGAAAAUCAAUAAGAUUUCUCUCGUUUUUAAUUGAAUCAACAAGUUUUAAAUCUAUGUAUGCGUUUAGAAUAUUGUUGUUUUUGUUGUUGAUGGUGAUUACUUGUCGUCAUCGUAACUGUAGAGGGUACUAAUGUUCAUCAAUAGUGUUGGUGGUGGAUAUGCAGGUUCUGGUGGAAGAUGAGGAGGUUGUAGUGGUAGAGGUGGUGGUAUUUGAGAAGUUUUGGAGGAGGAUCUAAAGUCAGUGUUACUAAGAAGGCUGACCCCAAGGUGCUGGCUAACAAAGCUUCCAAGGCUGUCAAAGCUGGAGCAUCAACCAUUAAGAAGAAGGCUAAGAAUAUCUGCACAUCAGUCAUAUUUCACAGGCCAAAGACAUUGCAGAAGGCAAGGAAUCCCAAGUACCAAUAUAUUAGUGCACUACCAAGGAACAAGCUGGACCAUUACCAGAUCCUGAAAUACCCACUCACCACCGAGUCCGCAAUGAAGAAGAUUGAAGACAACAAGAAGAAGAAAAUAAGGAUGCUUUCAAGAAGAUGUAAAACAUCCAGACAGAUAAAGUGAACACCG
RNA transcript from Papaver somniferum (opium poppy), 633 nucleotides. It is a transcript of the gene named 60S ribosomal protein L23A-like, with no coding region annotated. The transcript has 2 exons. The record is from RefSeq and is a predicted model, not a curated record. NCBI's taxonomy places the organism in Eukaryota, Viridiplantae, Streptophyta, Magnoliopsida, Ranunculales, Papaveraceae.